RNAcentral lists this long non-coding RNA (353 nucleotides) under Equus caballus (horse). Its description in RNAcentral is "lncRNA (ENSECAG00000058079.1)". The record is from RNAcentral. Lineage: Eukaryota; Metazoa; Chordata; Mammalia; Perissodactyla; Equidae.
GUUAAGACAGAGCUGCAGGCUCGGAGGGGACACGCGCUAAAAAUGAAGAGAAUGUCAUGUCAACUACUGAGGAACUAUGGGGAAUUAAGCAAAUCUGAUUAAACGGACCAGCCAGCACCUCCCCAGGGACAGAUGUGUACGACUAGGACCCUUCUGAGUGUGCCGAGUACUGGGGACCUCAUGCUCCUGCCUCACCUAUUUCAUGACAUCUUGGGACCCAUUGACAGUCUUCCCCCACAUCCCACCUAGCAGCCUCCAGUCCAGCUUUCUACUUAGUAGCUGUGUGACCUCAGGCAAGUCGCUUAACUUCUCUGAGCCUCCAUGGUUUAAUCUAGUCUAUUUUGAAACGGAAG